UGGUCAUGCAUGCAAUAUUAAACGACAAUUUUCAAUUUGUCGUCAUCGUCAAAUUAAUGAAGAAAUACUGAAUAAAACAAUCUGAACAUAAAACGAAUAAAUAAUAUUAUUAUUAAGUUAUGUUCUGUCACGCAUAUGAUUUUGUUCCUGGGGCUGAGAUUGCUUUCAGCAUAUAAAGUGAACGCAACGCCAGACGAAGCACAAUAUCAUUAUGAAAAUUCUGAGGGCAUUCAUGUUGCUAUGCAUAGUCACACUGUGGCUUUGCACCGACCAAUGUAUGGCAAUCGGGCGAGGACGGCGAGCCAACAUAAAAAAGGAAGCUUGUAUCGGACCCACAAACGUAUGUAAUUAUAUAAAAGACGAUGUGGCUGUUAGACUGGCAGUGUUGUCAGAAGAUGGCUCUCUCUGUGCAUGUGAGGCGAAGGCGCUUAUUAACUUUAGACCGCGAUAAACGAGUCUAGAUCAGCUGCAUAAAUCUCCUGAAUAAAAUAUCUAUGGUGAAA
Long non-coding RNA from Cydia pomonella (codling moth), 503 nucleotides. RefSeq lists it as uncharacterized. Lineage: Eukaryota; Metazoa; Arthropoda; Insecta; Lepidoptera; Tortricidae. The transcript is spliced from 2 exons. The record is from RefSeq and is a predicted model, not a curated record.